Long non-coding RNA from Aedes albopictus (Asian tiger mosquito), 6949 nucleotides. RefSeq lists it as uncharacterized. The record is from RefSeq and is a predicted model, not a curated record. NCBI's taxonomy places the organism in Eukaryota, Metazoa, Arthropoda, Insecta, Diptera, Culicidae. The transcript has 2 exons.
UUCGGGAAGCGGUGAUGGAAGAGUUUCUCAAAAUUCUACAAGCCAGCUCCCCAGAGUUAUGGAUCAGCUGAUGCAAGCGUUGUUCUGGGGGUGACGAGAGGGAUACCCGUUUGGUCUAGGAUCUUUUUGUAAUACUAAGGCUGUGACCAUAGUGGGUAAGGUGAGAUGCGAUCGGAUGCGAUAAGUUAUGAGAUGAGAAGAGGGAUGUUAGAUAGGCCAUAGUGCAUGAGGUUUUCAAUAAGGGUGCGCAUGUUGUUUUCACAUCCUUUUUCGCCUAUUUCGUGCGCAUCAACGACUCGUGUGAUUUGAUCGAUGAAGUCGCUUGUAUGUUGAAGCAUCUUCUUUGGAUGUGGGUAGUGAAAAUUUAAUGAUCGUUUUAUCUUUAAGAGCGGAAAGAUAAAAUGCACCCGCUUUUUGUUUUGCGCGGGCCGUUUUUUAUUUGCUAUAACUUAGUCAGUUUUGAUCCUGUUGCAAUAGCAAAAACCGACCAAUUCAAAAAAAAUCUGGUGUAACUGUACAAGAUUGAGAUUAUUGAAUUAAUUAUUUGAGAAAAGAAUGUAUAAAAUGUAAUUAUAUCCGCGUGAGCGAUGUCUUUAUGUAUACACAUAUUUUACUUUCCGAACUGGGCUAUCUCAGUGUUGAUUUCAAUUUUAAUUAAUAUGAGACAGUUAUUCGAUAUCUACUAGAAAAGAUGUCUCUAAUAAGUACACAAUAUUCAUCAUAAGGACUGUAUCAUUAAUUAAGAGUACACCUUUGAGGCCCUGUGUUGAAAAGACUUCACUUAGUCUUAUUUUGACAACUGCUGUGUGUUUAUGUGUUGCUAGCGUUGUAAACAAAAGAUAACCUUCAUUGAAAGUUAAAGUUUUCGUCAAGUGGAGCAACGCGAGUGUUUACGGAUGAGAAGCGAAAAUCGAUUGUGACCAGGUACUGCUAUGGAAAAUGAUUAUCGCUAAGAAGAAAAUUAGGUUGGAGGUGUUAGCGUUUUUUUCUGUCCAAAAUGCUGUCAAACGAUUCGGUAUGCAUAACACACUGAUAGACUCACCCGGAUGCGACAGAAAACCAGGUGCGUCCAAGCCAAAUUUGUACAGAAAAAUUUGCAAAAUCUUCAAAUGAAAAAGGAGGUAUUCAUCAUAGAUUGCGCAAAAAAGUGUGGAACGACUAUUGGUAUGGUUCAGCGCGCCAAGAAACGUAAUUCCCUGAAGACUUACCCAAAACAGAAAUUUCCAAAAAACAGUCAAAUUCUGGCGGAUUAUGUGAAAACUCGGGCUCGGAAACUGUACGACGAUGUUUUGAGCAAAAAUUACAUGUGCAUAAUUAUGGAUGAUGAAACGUAUGUCAUAUUGGACAACAAGGCACUUCCAGGAGCACAGUUUUUCACUGUGAAGCAUGGCACUGAUGUUCCAAAAUUGAUUUUUUGCAAAAAAGUUGGGAAAAUGUAUUAGUUUGGCAAGCAAUUUGUCAAAGUGGUAUGAAAUCGUCACCUUUCUUCGCCGUCCCAAGUAUGAACGUCGAAACAUACCGGAAGGAAUUCCUCCAGAAACCAAUUCUGAUACUCAUCUGAAAGCACAAAGGUCCUACAUUAUUUUGAUCGGAUUUGGCAUCCUGCCACUAUGCGCGUGACACCUUUGACUGGUAUGAAGAAAACAAUGUCCAAUUUGUGGAAAAGGCAAUGUCCUUCAAAUUGCCCGCAAAUUAGGCACAUUAGAAGUAUUUGGCUUUGAUGAAAGGGAAACUACGGCAAAAGGAUAGAGGAGCAGUCAAAUUCAAGAUAAACUGGGCGUCAUCAAAUUCAAGAAAAACUGGGCCAACCCAAGCAAAACCAUCGACGGAACGGUUGUCCAAAACCUUAUGAAGAACACCAAGAAGAAGGUGCGAGAGCUGGCAAGAUCCACGAAAAAUUAAAUAUAAAAUGAUACCAUGGGCUUUUCUGAUGGUCAAUAAACAAUGUUGAAUUUAAUUUACAAAACAAAUAAAACAUUUUCAGAUACAGCAAUUUUCAGGUGUACUCAUAAUUAACGAUACAGUCCUUAUAUUAGGUAAAAGAGUAUCAAUUGAAAUUGAUGUCACACUCUUUUCGUUAAGGGAUCUAGUUUUGCCUGACAAAGAAAAAAGCAGAACUUUUCAAUCAGAAUCCUUUUAGCAAUUAAGUUGAAUACGUUUUAACUUGCACAUGAAUAACAUGCACUGAACAAACGACCAUAUCAAACACUGGUCACUUGAUUCAAAUCCCGAACAGAGAAAAUAAAAUAUUUUCUUAUACACAUAUAAUAACAAAAUUAUGCUGCAAAAACUUAAACGAUUUGAUGGAAUACUAUUUUAUAUGCAAUGAAAUAUGUUAUUUUACAUGGUGAUCGAUAGACAGUAUGAUAAAUUUUUAUUACGUCUGGUCCAUCAAAAUGCAUGUCAUGUGAAAAAGCAUUGAGUUAUGUUACAAAACAACAACAUACUAACGCAUUUUAUAUUACCUACUAGCAUUCCCAACACAUUAAAUCCGCAUUGCUUUACAUACACAACGAGCGCAAUCAUAAAAUCCAUACCCGACAAGCAUUCUCUUGCGUUCUCUUGCGAUCACAUGCGUCGAAGCAGCUCCAUCGCAUAUCCGCACUUAUCGCAACUCAUCUACUAUGUACGGUUCAUGCGUUCUACAUAUAGUUUCCACAGAGUGUGCUUCGACGCUAAUCCGAUCUCUUAUCUCUUUGCAUCGCACCUCAGCCACUAUGUGCUCAACGUAAGUUGCUUGUAGGAUAGAGUACAUGUUAUCGUGCCUGUCCCACGAUAUGCAAAUGUAAAAUUAGUCGUUAGCAAAAGUAGCUAUGAGAAUACCGUGACCGCGCCUAAUUCCAAUCAGCUCCUAAUUCCGUUCACACGAAUCACAACACCGAGUAUUUGUCGAAAUUGUCGCAAAUCUUUAGCAAAUUGAUUUUUGUAAUUUUCAAUAAGUAUGUCCACGCCAGAAUAUAAUCAAAAAGUUAAAGGGUUUCUUGAGUAUUAAUGUGAAAAUACAUUAAAUGCCAUUAAUUAUUCAAUCGGCCGCCAUUCAACUUUUUUUUCUUUUGCGGACCUGUGAAUUGCAUCAAUUCAUACAUUUAAUGUAUUUUCAUUGAAAUAUUAACAAAAUCAAUCAAAAUAGCACCAAAGCAGAACAAUAAAGGACAUGUUUUUAUAAAUUUAACAUCAAAUCAACUUUUCGAAGAAGCAUCAGUCAAGGCUCCCAGACGAUUGAUGUUUGGUUCAUAUCAUUUAUUGGUAACCCCAGCUAGCAAGCAUAAAUUUUGGUGUCGUAGGUUUAAAAUUUAUAGAUGACGUCAAACCCGACAUAAACCUAUCAUUGACCUGUUUUUAUUUUGGUCUCCAAACCCAACAUAGACCCAACAGUUAUGCGAUGUGGGCCCAACAUUGGCCCAACAUUCGAUAAAAUUUGACCCGACUUUGACGCGACAUUCGACACUGUUUCAGUCUGGUGGAAUUUUGUAGUUUUCCCAGAAAGCUCUCAAAAACGCAACAACAUUAAAACAAUCCAAUGUUAUUACUUCAAAUUAUUAUAGAACUAACAUGUUUUGAUAAGUAAAUAAAUGUAUUUCGACAUAUAAAAUAUAAAUAUAACUAUAACAACCUAUGAUAAUAUGAUUAUUUUGUCAACUUGAUAUUUACUUGGAGUGACCGGAAUUAGGAACACAAGUGAACGGAAUUAGGAUCAUACUGAUUGGAAUAAGGAACAACAACUUGUUCUAAAUAGCGGCCAUUUUCAAAAAAAGUGGAGUGCUUGCAACCUUGAUUAUAUUUUUCUAGCAGUAUAGAGACAUAAUGGAACAGCGUUGCACAAUUACAGUCACUAAAUGCAGAACAUGUAUUUUCUACAGCUAUUAGACUUAGUUCAUCGCCUUAAGUGAACGGAAUUAGGUACAGUCACGGUACUGUGAUAAGAUCCCAGUUUGGGCAUAAUACCAGAAAAUAGUAAAUUAGAAGGAAUUUUAUUAUGAUAAAUAACUUGAAACACUUAAAAUUAACUUGAGAAUAUGUAUAUUAUAUUACUUUUCACAAUAGAAAAAGCCUAAUUUCUUUAACCAGUGGAAGUAAGGAUCGCAGUACUAGAUCAAUCAGUUUUAAAACAUUUCAACAGACGCUGCGAUGUCAACGCAAGUCAUUAGAGGUGUCAUUUUAGGAUGUUGUGUACUACCUGGAAAGAACUUUGAAUACGUCGAAAGGAAUGUCUGAAAUAAUAGGACACUUUGAACAAGCGUUGGUUUGAUUGACUUUGAUUUAUAUUUUCCACCAUCGUUCGCCAUUUGGCUACUAAGAUAUUGGAAGCUUUCAACAUUCACCACUGCUUGCCAAGCUACCGUAAAAGUAGCCGGGUUGAUCGUAUUUACAUUCAACGAUUUGGUCUUGUUGACGUUGAUGGUAAGAUCUGCCGCUGAGGAGCGAUUGGCAAGAUCAUCGAGCUUGCUCUGCAUAUCAGAGCGUCGUUGAGCUAGGAGAGCAACGUCAUCAGCCAGUUCGAAGUCAUUUAGGCGCUCCAUGGUAAUGGGCUGCCACAGCCACCUACACACCAAACUUUUUUCGCUGAAAAUCAGCAAAGUUUUGCUGAAUUUUGCCGAGCUGAAAUUUCAGCAAUCCGUUCAGCAAUAAAGAUUUCAGCAAUAUCGACUGUCAUCGUGAAUGACAGAAGUAAACUGAAAAAAUCAGCAAUUUUUUGCGGAUUGCUGAAAAUUCAGUGAUUUCGACCGGCGUGGGGUUUAGCAGCACAUUGCUGGUGGAUUUCAGCAAAUAAAAUCAAAAUAAAAUAAAUCCUUUGAUAUACACAGCUAGUUUAGAUUACCGACUUCGGUAAAAUUUUACUGGGUUUUUGAACUGCUGACUAUUCAGUAUUUUUUUCAAUUAUCGAAGAGUACGUAAAUUGAAAAGUUGAUCAUCUGUCAAAUAAUAACUGAGCUAGUCAGUAAUUUUUGUUGGGGAAAUUUACUGACUUUCAGUUAUUCAUUUGUUUACAGCUGACUACCGAGUUUCCCAGUUUCAUAAUACUUGCCCAUACCUCGCACUCCCUCGCAUUUUGUGUUAUUUAAUCAUUUUUGCAUAGGUACAUUGCGGAUAGUCAUGAAUGCCGGCAAAAUGAUCGUCUUUUUAAAUCUUUGUCAGUUCUUGGGAGGACAGUACAGAAUCUGCGACGGAUUUGCGAAAGUGGUUGAACAAAACUAGAUCCGCGAUGCUGCUGGUGCUUAAGUGUGUAAGGAAAUCAAUCUUUGAACCACACGGGAGAAGCCUCACAUUGCAGUAUCUUCCCUGAUCUAGUCCCGCAUAAUAACCUUCUCCAUGAAUUCGUCGCAGAAUCUGUAUUCCUUACCUGUGAGUUGACGGGAUGAUAAAAAGAUCAAGUCUUCUGCUCCUAUGGACGGCAAAAUCGAGUUCGAUAAGAAUUCUGCUGCUGCUGCUCCUGGAAAAUGAUGGUGAAUGGAUGUUUGACAGCUGCCCGUGAGAGCAGCAGUUUGUUUUCGUUUACAUUGGCGAAAACUCGGUACAGGAGCAAUGAUUACUGAAAAUCGGUAGUUGAUUUCACUGACUUUUUCCCCCUUUUCGGUGUAAUAUGAAAAUUACCGGGUAACGAGCGACUCAAAUAACCGAACUCAGUAAAAUGUAGAACACAUUACCACAGAGAACAGACAUCCAGGCUAGAACAAAUUUCAUUUGGAAAGUUGUGUAAGGAUUUGAAUCUUAACUUGAGUAAGGUUGCAAACCAAUACACGAUGACAACACUAACGCCACCAAACACCAUAUAGUGGUUUCGCAGCGCGGUUUCACGAACACUAAUGCAAAUCUACUGGUUGAAAAUAUGCCCAUUUGAUUUUGCUGGGAACAGCUGAUCUUUGUUUACUAUUUUCAACCAGUAACUCAAGUGGUGUUCGUGUAAUGCAGCGUGUACGUACACGCAACACUACUAAAAGCAAAAACCAUUAUUGCCACAGUCAGUGGUGAAUUGAAACAUUUCAAGUGGUGAAUUAAAAAACUCGUUUGCUGAAGUACAACCAGCAAAUACGCAUUUUACUGAAAAAAUACACAUCACUAAACAAUUUUGCACUUUUAAACAGGUAUGUAUGAUAGUUUAAAUAAAUAACAAUAGGGAAUCGCGCCAUUGGACGGUGGCUUCUAUAUUCGUCUGUUUUCCACUAUAACUCAGUCAAAUUUGAAUUAAUUGACACAACUUUUGGAAUGUGGUGAGAUAGGUAUAGUAUCUACCCGUGUACAACAUUUCAAGUCAAUUGGUUCAAAAUUAACUGGGUUAUACCGGAAAACAGACGAAUAUAGAAGCCACCGACCAAGUGGUGCGAUACCCUAUCAUUAUUUCAGAAGAUUACUUAUUUUAGGUGAUGAACACAGUCCAAGCAUCUGUGGAAUAGACGGCAUCUUCUGAAGCAGCAGCUUUUAUUUACAACCGACAAGCUGACUCAACUUUCACAAAUAGCAUAUUUUAUUAUUUUGAAUAAACCAAUAAAACUGCGGCAAUCAAAUAAGUUUUUGCUUUUAUGUGCAAAUAGUCAAUGUACACACUUAUUUAAGAAUUACGAGUUCGGUAACUAUUUUUACUGGGCUCGAACUGUUAAACAAUGAUUUGGCGACAAAUCAGCAUUUUUGUUUGAAGAGAUACCGAACUUCAGUAAUGUCACAGAGAACAGACAUCCAAGUCCAGUCCCGAAACUGUGUAAAGAAUUUAGCGGCCAUUUGAAAUCGGCUACACAAGUGGCAAUAGCGUGGCGCUGCAAUCGGUUAAUUUCCCAUACUAAUUUAAUUCACCACUUGAAAUGUUUCAAUUCACCACUGACUGUGGCAAUUUUGUGUUUGGUGGCGUUAGUGUUGUCAUCGUGUAUUGGUUUGCCACCUUACUCAAGUAAAGAUUCAAAUCCUUACACAACUCUCCAAAUAAAAUUUGUUCUAGCCUGGAUGUCUGUUCUCUGUG